UUUGAUAUUCGGGUUUCGAUUUCUUGAGAUUCGUAACUCCAAUAAAAAAUUUAAUCCGGUAAAAGUGUUCGUAUCCUUAUUCUCUACGUUUUGGCGUCACCUUUGACCGAUGGAAGUUGACGGUGACGUAGCUCCUCUUCCCCUUGAGUUCGGCUAACUGGAGUUCUAGGAAGCACAGACGAUUUCUGACGCUUUCUCCUUCAGCAGCUCGAUCAGAAAGCUUCUCCGGAGCUUCUGUUGUUUUGAUUUUGUACGGAGGUAGGGGAUUUUAUUUUGAAAUUAACUGUUUUUAAACUUUGAAUGCCAUGGAAGUCUAGUGGGUAUUUGUAAAUAAUUUAUGAUUGUUUGAAAUGACUGAAUGAUGAGUUUGAGUUGUGUUUGUGACUGAAUUUUGAUGAAUAUGUAUUUGAUUUCUUGAUUGAAAAGAGGUUGAAAAUGGUUCAGUUGGGACCCGAAAAAGGGUGGCUAACCCCGAGUUUUAGGGGAAGUGCUGCCGAAAUUUUAUAAAAAUCUGAGGUUUUAUUUGAAAAGUUAUUUUUAAAAGAUUUGGUUUUGAAAAAUUAAAUUAUUUGAGAUUUAUUUAGUUGAGAAAAAUGUGUAUUCUAUUUUUAAAACUAGAUUUAUUAAGAAACACAUAAUGUUUUAAAUCCAGUUUUGUAAGGAGAGAUUUUGUUCUAAGUGUUGUUUUGAGCUUGGUUUUUUUAAGAAAAUGAAUCUCUGCCACAGGAGAGCAGAGAACAAGGAUUUAAAGAAUAUAUUAAUUAAUGAAAUGUCUGCCACAGGAGAGCAGAUGUGAUAUUGUUUGGGCCUUAGUGCCAAAUGUAAAGUGGGGACGCCCACACACUGAGAACUGUUUUCCAGAUGUACGCUUAUUGAUUUGGAAAUUCACACUGAUGCGGCCUAGCCGUACGACUUAUAAGCACACUGAUGCAUCUGGAAAGCCAUAUCUGGGACUUGUGCUAUAUUUAAAAUUUGUUUUGAGUUUAGAAAUUUAAAGAAAAGUAAUUAUUUAUCUAAAGUAGAAAAAAAAAGUAUUUCCAAAGGUUUAACAAAAUAGUUUUGCUAAGUAAGUUAAUUAUUUGCAUUAAAUUCAUUACUUUUACGGCAUUCCCAUUCCCUACUGAGAACGUGUGGUUUGUUCUCACCCCAAAAUCUUCCACCCUUUCAGUGACACAGGUUCGAAGAUUCAGUUAGAAGAUGCAGACGACUAGUAGUUUUACUUGUGAUUCCUGUUAUUUUUAUAGAGUUCCCUCGCCCUUGUUGCUUUAAGUUUUAUUUUAUCCAGAGGGAUAGGUAUUGUAUUUGAGUUUUAUUUUAAAUUCAUUGUAUAGCAUUUAUUAUUAUUAAUAAUUGUGUGAUUUUAAUUACUA
This 1370-nucleotide long non-coding RNA is filed under the name Arachis ipaensis. Its description in RNAcentral is "long non-coding RNA (AIPA_LNC000398)". Lineage: Eukaryota; Viridiplantae; Streptophyta; Magnoliopsida; Fabales; Fabaceae. The record is from RNAcentral.